UUAAGCGACUAAGCGUACACGGUGGAUGCCCUGGCAGUCAGAGGCGAUGAAGGACGUGCUAAUCUGCGAUAAGCGUCGGUAAGGUGAUAUGAACCGUUAUAACCGGCGAUUUCCGAAUGGGGAAACCCAGUGUGUUUCGACACACUAUCAUUAACUGAAUCCAUAGGUUAAUGAGGCGAACCGGGGGAACUGAAACAUCUAAGUACCCCGAGGAAAAGAAAUCAACCGAGAUUCCCCCAGUAGCGGCGAGCGAACGGGGAGCAGCCCAGAGCCUGAAUCAGUGUGUGUGUUAGUGGAAGCGUCUGGAAAGGCGCGCGAUACAGGGUGACAGCCCCGUACACAAAAAUGCACAUAUUGUGAGCUCGAUGAGUAGGGCGGGACACGUGGUAUCCUGUCUGAAUAUGGGGGGACCAUCCUCCAAGGCUAAAUACUCCUGACUGACCGAUAGUGAACCAGUACCGUGAGGGAAAGGCGAAAAGAACCCCGGCGAGGGGAGUGAAAAAGAACCUGAAACCGUGUACGUACAAGCAGUGGGAGCACGCUUUAGGGGGUGACUGCGUACCUUUUGUAUAAUGGGUCAGCGACUUAUAUUCUGUAGCAAGGUUAACCGAAUAGGGGAGCCGAAGGGAAACCGAGUCUUAACUGGGCGUUAAGUUGCAGGGUAUAGACCCGAAACCCGGUGAUCUAGCCAUGGGCAGGUUGAAGGUUGGGUAACACUAACUGGAGGACCGAACCGACUAAUGUUGAAAAAUUAGCGGAUGACUUGUGGCUGGGGGUGAAAGGCCAAUCAAACCGGGAGAUAGCUGGUUCUCCCCGAAAGCUAUUUAGGUAGCGCCUCGUGAAUUCAUCUCCGGGGGUAGAGCACUGUUUCGGCAAGGGGGUCAUCCCGACUUACCAACCCGAUGCAAACUGCGAAUACCGGAGAAUGUUAUCACGGGAGACACACGGCGGGUGCUAACGUCCGUCGUGAAGAGGGAAACAACCCAGACCGCCAGCUAAGGUCCCAAAGUCAUGGUUAAGUGGGAAACGAUGUGGGAAGGCCCAGACAGCCAGGAUGUUGGCUUAGAAGCAGCCAUCAUUUAAAGAAAGCGUAAUAGCUCACUGGUCGAGUCGGCCUGCGCGGAAGAUGUAACGGGGCUAAACCAUGCACCGAAGCUGCGGCAGCGACGCUUAUGCGUUGUUGGGUAGGGGAGCGUUCUGUAAGCCUGCGAAGGUGUGCUGUGAGGCAUGCUGGAGGUAUCAGAAGUGCGAAUGCUGACAUAAGUAACGAUAAAGCGGGUGAAAAGCCCGCUCGCCGGAAGACCAAGGGUUCCUGUCCAACGUUAAUCGGGGCAGGGUGAGUCGACCCCUAAGGCGAGGCCGAAAGGCGUAGUCGAUGGGAAACAGGUUAAUAUUCCUGUACUUGGUGUUACUGCGAAGGGGGGACGGAGAAGGCUAUGUUGGCCGGGCGACGGUUGUCCCGGUUUAAGCGUGUAGGCUGGUUUUCCAGGCAAAUCCGGAAAAUCAAGGCUGAGGCGUGAUGACGAGGCACUACGGUGCUGAAGCAACAAAUGCCCUGCUUCCAGGAAAAGCCUCUAAGCAUCAGGUAACAUCAAAUCGUACCCCAAACCGACACAGGUGGUCAGGUAGAGAAUACCAAGGCGCUUGAGAGAACUCGGGUGAAGGAACUAGGCAAAAUGGUGCCGUAACUUCGGGAGAAGGCACGCUGAUAUGUAGGUGAAGCGACUUGCUCGUGGAGCUGAAAUCAGUCGAAGAUACCAGCUGGCUGCAACUGUUUAUUAAAAACACAGCACUGUGCAAACACGAAAGUGGACGUAUACGGUGUGACGCCUGCCCGGUGCCGGAAGGUUAAUUGAUGGGGUCAGCGCAAGCGAAGCUCUUGAUCGAAGCCCCGGUAAACGGCGGCCGUAACUAUAACGGUCCUAAGGUAGCGAAAUUCCUUGUCGGGUAAGUUCCGACCUGCACGAAUGGCGUAAUGAUGGCCAGGCUGUCUCCACCCGAGACUCAGUGAAAUUGAACUCGCUGUGAAGAUGCAGUGUACCCGCGGCAAGACGGAAAGACCCCGUGAACCUUUACUAUAGCUUGACACUGAACAUUGAGCCUUGAUGUGUAGGAUAGGUGGGAGGCUUUGAAGUGUGGACGCCAGUCUGCAUGGAGCCGACCUUGAAAUACCACCCUUUAAUGUUUGAUGUUCUAACGUUGGCCCCUAAUCGGGGUUGCGGACAGUGUCUGGUGGGUAGUUUGACUGGGGCGGUCUCCUCCUAAAGAGUAACGGAGGAGCACGAAGGUUGGCUAAUCCUGGUCGGACAUCAGGAGGUUAGUGCAAUGGCAUAAGCCAGCUUGACUGCGAGCGUGACGGCGCGAGCAGGUGCGAAAGCAGGUCAUAGUGAUCCGGUGGUUCUGAAUGGAAGGGCCAUCGCUCAACGGAUAAAAGGUACUCCGGGGAUAACAGGCUGAUACCGCCCAAGAGUUCAUAUCGACGGCGGUGUUUGGCACCUCGAUGUCGGCUCAUCACAUCCUGGGGCUGAAGUAGGUCCCAAGGGUAUGGCUGUUCGCCAUUUAAAGUGGUACGCGAGCUGGGUUUAGAACGUCGUGAGACAGUUCGGUCCCUAUCUGCCGUGGGCGCUGGAGAACUGAGGGGGGCUGCUCCUAGUACGAGAGGACCGGAGUGGACGCAUCACUGGUGUUCGGGUUGUCAUGCCAAUGGCACUGCCCGGUAGCUAAAUGCGGAAGAGAUAAGUGCUGAAAGCAUCUAAGCACGAAACUUGCCCCGAGAUGAGUUCUCCCUGACUCCUUGAGAGUCCUGAAGGAACGUUGAAGACGACGACGUUGAUAGGCCGGGUGUGUAAGCGCAGCGAUGCGUUGAGCUAACCGGUACUAAUGAACCGUGAGGCUUAACCUU
This 2902-nucleotide ribosomal RNA is filed under the name Escherichia coli KTE40. Its description in RNAcentral is "bacterial LSU rRNA". It matches the Rfam family "Bacterial large subunit ribosomal RNA". Lineage: Bacteria; Pseudomonadati; Pseudomonadota; Gammaproteobacteria; Enterobacterales; Enterobacteriaceae. The record is from RNAcentral.